This 406-nucleotide ribosomal RNA is filed under the name uncultured bacterium. RNAcentral describes it as "partial 16S ribosomal RNA". It matches the Rfam family "Bacterial small subunit ribosomal RNA", at positions 30 to 526 of the family's 1533-position model. The record is from RNAcentral.
AUUGAACUCUGGCGGCAGGCUUAACACAUGCAAGUCGAUCGGGCGGCGGACGGGUGAGUAAUGUCUGGGAAACUGCCCGAUGGAGGGGGAUAACUACUGGAAACGGUAGCUAAUACCGCAUAACAUCAGAUGUGACCCGAUGGGAUUAGAUAUUUGGUGGGGUAAUGGAUCACCUAGGCGACGAUCCAUAGCUGGUCUGAGAGGAUGACCAGCCACACUGGAACUGAGACACUGUCCAUACUCCUACGGGAGGCAGCAGUGGGGAAUAUUGCACAAUGGGCGAAAGCCUGAUGCAGCCAUGCCGCGUGUGUGAUGAAGGCCUUCGGGUUGUAAAGCACUUUCAGCGAGGAGGCGUUACUCGCAGAAGAAGCACCGGCUAACUCCGUGCCAGCAGCCGCGGUAAUAC